CCUACGGGAGGCUGCAGUGGGGAAUAUUGCGCAAUGGGCGAAAGCCUGACGCAGCGACGCCGCGUGAGGGAUGAAGGUCUUCGGAUCGUAAACCUCUGUCAGCAGGGAAGAACGGUCACUGUACUAAUCAGCAGUGAAUUGACGGUACCUGCAAAGGAAGCACCGGCUAACUCCGUGCCAGCAGCCGCGGUAAUACGGAGGGUGCGAGCGUUAAUCGGAAUUACUGGGCGUAAAGCGCUCGUAGGCGGGAUGUCAAGUCAAGGGUGAAAGACCCGCGCUCAACGUGGGAACUGCCUUUGAAACGGGGAAACUGGAGUGUGGGAGAGGAUGGUGGAAUUCCAGGUGUAGGGGUGAAAUCCGUAGAUAUCGGGAGGAACAUCAGGGGCGAAGGCGACUAUCUGGCACAUAACUGACGCUGAGGAGCGAAAGCGUGGGUAGCAAACAGGAUUAGAUACCCGGGUAGUC
RNAcentral lists this ribosomal RNA (465 nucleotides) under uncultured bacterium. RNAcentral's name for it is "partial 16S ribosomal RNA". It matches the Rfam family "Bacterial small subunit ribosomal RNA", at positions 338 to 795 of the family's 1533-position model. The record is from RNAcentral.